UUAGGAAGUAGCCUUUUGUUUUAGUUUUUUAUUUUAAUCAAUUUUGUUAAUUAUAGUUUAUUAGUAGAGUGGUUGAAUUUUGAAAUAUUUAUUUAAAUUUUUAUAAGAAGAAUUUAUUUUUUGUACCUUGUGUAUCAGGGUUGAUAAAUUGAUCAUUUUGUAUAGAAUUUUCCCGAAUCAGGAAGGGCUAGGAAUUUAUUAUUUUUGUUGUUGAAUUAACUUUAUUAAUUUAUUUUUAGAAAUGAAACGUUAUUCGUUUCCUGUUAUAUCUGGUUUCCUGAGAAAUGAAUUAAAUUCUUUCUACAUUAAAUUUUAUUCUUAAAUUUUAAGUUAAAGUUGUUGUUGAUUAACAUCAGAUGGGAUGAGCUUUCUGUUGGAUUUUUAAAAGGUUUUAUGUUUUGUUAGUACGUAUGAUUAAUAUUUUCAAUCUUUAGAAUGAUUUUACAGUUGACUUUCUUUGGUUUGUUUAUUUUUAUUUUCUUUAAGUUUUUUAUCAGGAUAUUUAAUUUAACUUUUUUGUGUAAUUAAUAAUGAUUAAAUUAGUAAAUUUUGUUUAUUUGUUUUGUAAGUUUCGUUUUUGGUUAGUUAAAGGAACUCGGCAAAUCUAUUUUCCGCCUGUUUAUUAAAAACAUGUCCUUUUGAAUUUAAUUUAAGGUCUAAUCUGCUCAAUGAGGAUUUAAAUUGCCGCGGUAUCUUGACCGUGCGAAGGUAGCAUAAUAAUUAGUUUCUUUAUUGGAAGCUGGAAUGAAUGAUUGGACGAGAAAAUUGCUGUCUCUAGUUAAUUUGGUUUUGAAUUUAACUUUUAAGUAAAAAGGCUUAAAUUUUUCUAAAAGACGAGAAGACCCUAUAGAGUUUAACAUUUAAUUUUCUGUUAAGAAUUUUUUGGAAUUUAUCUUUUUGAUGUCAUUAUUUGUUUAGUUGGGGUGACUAGAAGAUUUAUUUAACUCUUCUAAUAAUUAGUUACUUAUUAGUAAGUUUUUAUUCUGAUUUUUUCAAGUUUAAUAUAAAUUACCUUAGGGAUAACAGCGUAAUUCCUCUUUAGAGUUCGUAUUGGGGGAGGAGUUUGCGACCUCGAUGUUGGAUUAAAAUUAAUAUCGGGCGCAGUAGCUUGAUUAUUAGGUCUGUUCGACCUUUAAAAUUUUACAUGAUCUGAGUUUAAACCGGUGUGAGCCAGGUUGGUUUCUAUCUUUAGUAUAUUGUUACGCUUUAGUACGAAAGGACCGGGUGUUAAAUAAAUUAUUUUUGGGUGAAUAUUAUUAUUGCUUUGGCAGAUUAGUGCAA
Molecule: ribosomal RNA, 1281 nt
Filed under: Ignelater luminosus
Lineage: Eukaryota; Metazoa; Arthropoda; Insecta; Coleoptera; Elateridae
Description: 16S ribosomal RNA
Rfam family: Archaeal large subunit ribosomal RNA (bases 827-1192)
Source: RNAcentral